CUAUACGGAAUAUCAAAGUGUUUCAUAGGAACCUUUAUUAAAGCUAAGCCAUGAUUAACGUGCAGCUGCUUCAUAGAAAGGCGGUGGAUUUUGUGAAUCUGUGUAAAUAAGAGUCAGUGCUGGAGAUCAGAUUCUGCUUCAUCAUGGAUGACACACAAACAUCCACAGAUGAAGAUUGUUCUCCAGGAUGCAGUUCAGUUCAUCAGAAGAGAUCAGAAGCAGAGUCCA
Molecule: long non-coding RNA, 228 nt
Organism: Sinocyclocheilus rhinocerous
Lineage: Eukaryota; Metazoa; Chordata; Actinopteri; Cypriniformes; Cyprinidae
Exons: 3
Source: RefSeq, a predicted model, not a curated record